AUGUUAAUUAGGAAGAAAAUGCACCAACUUGAUGAACUCCUCUACCGCGAGGAGAUGCUUUGGCUGCAAAGGUCUCGGAUUACUUGGCUCAAGGAGGGGGAGCGUAAUACGGUGUAUCUGCACCGUCAGGCUGUGUGGCGAGCAUGCAGGAAUUAUAUACAGCGGCUGCGAAGGUUGGAUGGUUCGUGGAGUACCACGCCAUCGGACAUGGAGCUGAUGGCUACGCUGUACUUCAAAGAAGUGUACACAAAGGACCCUACUCUGAGAGUCCGCAAGUGUGCUGGAAGGAAUCAUGCCAAAGGUAACACAAGGUAUGAAUGA
RNAcentral lists this ribosomal RNA (321 nucleotides) under Triticum aestivum (bread wheat). RNAcentral describes it as "partial small subunit ribosomal RNA". The record is from RNAcentral. Lineage: Eukaryota; Viridiplantae; Streptophyta; Magnoliopsida; Poales; Poaceae.